This 492-nucleotide ribosomal RNA is filed under the name uncultured bacterium. RNAcentral's name for it is "partial 16S ribosomal RNA". It matches the Rfam family "Bacterial small subunit ribosomal RNA", at positions 29 to 507 of the family's 1533-position model. The record is from RNAcentral.
AGUGAACGCUGGCGGUAGGCCUAACACAUGCAAGUCGAACGGCAGCACAGUAAGAGCUUGCUCUUACGGGUGGCGAGUGGCGGACGGGUGGGGAAUACAUCGGAAUCUACUUUUUCGUGGGGGAUAACGUAGGGAGAAUUACGCUAAUACCGCAUACGACCUACGGGUGAAAGCAGGGGAUCUUCGGACCUUGCGCGAUUGAAUGAGCCGAUGUCGGAUUAGCUAGUUGGCGGGGUAAAGGCCCACCAAGGCGACGAUCCGUAGCUGGUCUGAGAGGAUGAUCAGCCACACUGGAACUGAGACACGGUCCAGACUCCUACGGAAGGCAGCAGUGGGGAAUAUUGGAAAAUGGGCGCAAGCCUGAUACAGCCAUACCGCGUGGGUGAAGAAGGCCUUCGGAUUGUAAAGCCCUUUUAUUGGGAAAGAAAAGCAGCAGGUUAAUACCCCGCUGUUCUGACGGUACCCAAAGAAUAAGCACCGGCUAACUUCGUG